This 4383-nucleotide unclassified non-coding RNA is filed under the name Leishmania donovani. Its description in RNAcentral is "gene:LdHU3.06.0920(CDS-product:hypothetical_prote in_conserved)". The record is from RNAcentral. Lineage: Eukaryota; Euglenozoa; Kinetoplastea; Trypanosomatida; Trypanosomatidae.
ACGCACACACACACACACACACACACACAAAAUAAUGCUUGGGCUGCACCAUCGACAUGAGCCGCUGGCACGAGAGCGUCUGCUACCACAGCUGAAGCCAGUACAGCUGCACGAGCUUGGGCAAGAGGUGGGCUCUUCGCAAGAGGCAUCACAGCCAUCAAGAACGCUUUCGCCGUCGUGCCAUGUAGCCGCUGCUCGUCACAGCGCAUGCCCGAUAGGCAUCGACCUCUUCGCGAGCAGAGCCGCAUCAGAUGCACCCUUGCACCCAUCGGCGCCGAAAAAAACGCUUGCGCAGCUGACUCAUCCGGGCCACAUCGCUGGUUGUCCGCCUACCGAGUGGCCGUCGUCGUGCACCACACCGCCAAGCAGCGACGGAGCGGCGAGGGUGUUCUUGUGUGUGGACAACACCAGUGCCGCCACCGCAGCCGCCCCUGCUGCGUCGCGAUAUCCGUCCGCGUGGCAGACGUUGAUGGCGGCCACACAGGCCACCACGACGUACGCGGCGAGCGUGCAGCAAGCGAAACAACUCCUCCGCGACUUUGAGGGCUAUCAGCGCAGCGUCGGUGCGUCACCGCUCAACCACGACCAGCGGCGCGCGAAACUCACACCCGGGUGUCUCGAGAGCGGCAGCGGUUCUGCUGGCACGACGAACUGUCCUCGCUUAGACAUAGAUGCGCUGGGGCAGCGUGGCACACCUUCAGCUACCAUCUCGACCAAGGCGCGUGGGAGCGCACCCAGCUUCGGUACUGGGCAUGCUGCGCAGCCGCCCCAGGCAUCGCCAUCUUCAUCGCCGUCUCUCAGCUUCCCGCUUGACCCCGCUGCGUACGAGCUCGCGAGGCGGCGCUCCCUGCAGGCGCUGCACGACAACGCGCGGGCACGCGCCGCAUACAUUGAUCAGGGGCUGCGGCUCUCACGGGCAGUGCACGCGGCGUUGUUAAAGCGGCCGGGGAUGGCUAUAGACGGCGUGGUUGCUAUGGAGGGCUCAUCAGGCCACCCCACGAGUACCGCAAUGGCACAUCACGAUGGACAGGCGCUUUCGCCCGCUGCGGGGGCCGGUGAUGCGCCGCGGACCUCGAACGCCGCCGCGUCGCCGUCGCUGGCCGCCGCCGGCCAGCAAAAGACGGAUCAGCCGCCUAUCGCUGCGGUGCCGGUAAUGAGCGUAGCGGAGCAGGCGGCUGCCACGAAAGAGGCGGAGCGUGCCCUGUCCCUUCUCUGCACCAUCCGCGCGAUGCGGCGGCAGACGGAGGAGCUGACCGUGCUGCUGCUGCACGCCUGUGGUGAGUAUGGCUGCUGGUCGGUGCCCACCGCCGAGGAAGGUGUUGCCUGGGGGACGAGACGCACGCCGUUGCCUUCUUCACCGCUGCCGAGGCGCGUAAGACACUCGCGGCACCUUUUCACUGACCUGUUCAUGGCAGCACCUCCGGCACCGGCCGCACCUUGCACAUCCCCAUCUGGGUCUCCCGUGGGCGUCAGCGAUGGCCCCGCCAGAGCACAUCUGCUAGAUCUCCGCGCGGCGGAGGAUGCUGACACGGCGCGACUCAGCGCUGCGAGCGUCUUCGCCAAGGAGUCGGCCUGCCGUCGCGAGAGGGCGUGCCGGGCGCUUCGGCAAGCGCUGCAGCAGCAACGGCAGCGAUGGCCGCUGUCCACGGCGGCGGCCGCCACUGUGACCCUGGCUGCUGGCGCUGCUUUCUUGGAGAUGGCUUUGGCACCGCCGCAGCGUGCAGUGCCGCCGCCACCGCCGAUGUCUGUGCAGCUAGACCUCUACGCUGUGCAACAGUGUGCUCUGCACAGUUCGUCUCAUGAGUGGCGACGAGGGGCUGCGCAGACGGCUGCCACCGGUGCUACGAAGACAGAUGGCGCACCAUCAUCGGAGGAGGCAGCGUCUCCGCACGGCUCCUUACAGCAGCUGCUACACACCCUGAGAAGGCAGCGACCCCAGCUCCAGCGCAGCUACGAUGUGCUCCACGCGGCUGCAGGGCAGCGACACCGCACAAACACCCACUCGUGCACUGACGAGCAGCGAGGGGUGCCGUCUCGCGAGACGACCACCGGAGUCACCAAGGCUGUCGAAGCGAGAGCAGUGGCGCACAAGACGCGCGGCACGUCGGCGGCCGCGUCUGAUGCACCACAGCAGGUCGAGGCGCCGCUGCUGCCAUCUUCAUCGCCCCCACUCGCAGUUACGCCUGACACGCUGCGCCACACACCUUCCUCCCUGCCACGGCAGCACUCUUCCACUACCCCCAGCAGCAGCUCACAGGCUUUGCCAUCCUCCGACACGCUGCUGAGCUUGCCUGUGCAGCUGGCUGUAGACCACACGCGGCUGUGGGCGGACCCGCCGACGCCGUUGCAGCGGGCCGAUUUCUCGCGCGCUGCAGCCGCCCCGCCGACGAGCACCGAAAUAUCUGGGAGGGGUGCAAGAAUCCCGGUACAACAGGCGGGUCGGUCGGCGGUGGAGGACGCGAGCUCGCAUCGCGCGAAGGGCAAGCCGGAGCUGGAGGCACGUAUCGAGGUGGAGGUCAUUGGUGGGAAUGCGGGUGGAAGCCAUGCUGCCGCUGGUGCGCCCCCAUCCAACUCGACACAGGUGACUAGUAUGCGGCGCACAUCCUUGUCUUCGUCGACGCCCUUCCCUUCCCCCGCCGCCGUAGAUGCGCGCGGCGGCGUCGUUGGUGCACCGCGAGAGGUAUGUGAGGCAUCAUGGCAACCAUGCGCGAACGCCAUGCCCUCCACGCGCCCCGAGGCAGCACGUGACGUGGCAGUGAAAGAGGGGAAGCUGGCGUCCCAGCAUCAGAAGGAGCGCCGAAGACGAAGGGGCGAUCGAGGAGGCAGUGCCACCGCUGCCGAGCUCGAGGACUCUGUGUGGCGCCACCUCACGCGCUGGAUCUCUCAGCAGCAGAAACGUACGGCGCCUGACGCGGCAGCAUCGUUGUCAUCGCUAGCGCUCAGCCCACAUGACCUCAGCGCUGCUGCUGCGUGGCUGCGCUCGACGAGUCCGCGUUUUGCCAUCAGCCAGACGGUCGCUGCUCCACCUCCGGCGUUGGUGCGGAUCCUGAAACAUGCGUUCCCAGAUUUUGUGGCACCUUCAUCCUGGAACGCUCUGAGGGCGGCCCCGACUGCCGCUGUGGUAGCUGAAGCGGACCAGCCGGACGGAGAUGAAGAGCCACGAGCACCACAGCAGCCGCAAAUCCAACCGCCCUCGUUGACCAUCACCUCUACCACGUCUUCCCAUCCUUACUCUGCGGCGACCUCAUCCGCGCCGGAGGCGGCAAGGCUUCCAAGGCGGCCGCCUCCGCAAACAGCCCCUGAUGGCCCUGCCGUUUCCCAUUCGCCGACGUCGUCGAUGAAGUUCUCUCAGGCUCCUUCUGGAGGAACCGACACUGCGGCCGUUGCGCCUCCAGGCCAGUUGCUCCUUGCACCUGUAGCAGCUGUCAAUCCUCGCCCGGCACCGCUGAGCGCGCCGCUGCCACCGCCGCCGGCGUCAUCGCCCAAGGCCAAGCCGGCGAAGGGUGGCGGCUCUGCGGGGGUGACGAAGCUGCCGCAGCGGCAGCGGCACCGCAACUUCUUCAGUCGUCUCUUCAGGUGCGGCGGAUGAGCAACAUGGGGGAAAGCUGAGGGGAACGCGCACGCAGCGCAUGGGAGGGCGGAGUGCUAGGUGAGGUUCAGCCUCUGUGUGUGCGUGCCUGGCGGAUCGCCACAUCUGUGCACGCACUCUUACGUCUCGUGCCGUCGCCCAUCCAUGGACAGGUGUCGGGCCAGCUCGGUGGCGAUUGCAGUGCUUAGAGAAUGAAGACAGACAUGGAAGAGGCGGCGCUCGAUCUCUGCGCGUGUGCGCGUGAGCCCGAGUGGGCAGGAGCGUGCGGCGGGGGAGGGGGUGGAUAGAGUCAGGCGCAAGCGCAGCGCACGAGUUGGGGCAACCAACGGAAAACCAACGAAUAGCCUUGGAGGAGACACCAGCACAGGACCGCUAACGGCUUCAGCAUCACCAUAACCAUCAUCAUCAUCACCAUCCGAAGGACGGCUAGAUAUUGAAAACAUGUGAAGUUUCGAAACUUACUAGGAAAAGACGCGAUAGACAUGUCUGUUGCUGCGGACGUCGGUCAGCAGGGGCGUCCGUAUGUGCCAGGACGUACUGCUGUGCUUCAGCCCACGAUCACCGCGCUUCUCUCUCCACGUACGCGUGCUGGCUUGCUCGCUGGCGCAUGUGCAUCUUGGCACAUGGGUAGUUGCACACUCCCGACCUAAACCGACGCCUACGUGUGCAGCAGUCGCUCUUCCUUCCCUUUCCUUGGAUUUGCCCACAACUCUCCCUGCGUGUGUCUGCGUGUCGCCACCCUCCCCCCGUCUCUCUCACAUCUCCUCCUCUUCUCGCGCUGCCCAUGCGCGUAG